This 301-nucleotide ribosomal RNA is filed under the name uncultured bacterium. RNAcentral's name for it is "partial 16S ribosomal RNA". It matches the Rfam family "Bacterial small subunit ribosomal RNA", at positions 509 to 807 of the family's 1533-position model. The record is from RNAcentral.
CAGCCGCCGCGGGAAAACGAAGGGGGCUAGCGUUGUUCGGAAUUACUGGGCGUAAAGGGCGCGUAGGCGGCCAUUCAAGUUAGAUGUGAAAGCCCUGGGCUCAACCUAGGAAUUGCAUUUGAUAUUGUUUGGCUUGAGUUCGGGAGAGGUGAGUGGAAUUCCCAGUGUAGAGGUGAAAUUCGUAGAUAUUGGGAAGAACACCAGUGGCGAAGGCGGCUCACUGGACCGACACUGACGCUGAGGCGCGAAAGCGUGGGGAGCAAACAGGAUUAGAUACCCGCGUAGUCCCUGUCUCUUAUAC